GCAAAGAUGACGUAAAGUUUCUGGUUCGGUAUUUAUAAGAAAAUGGAGUUCACAUUCACACAGCUAGCACUUUGCAAAAGUAGUUUUCCCUUGAAAUAGCUUUGAUGGCAUGCUGUUAUUCAUGACAUAUCAUUAUUAAAAGUGGCUACAAAU
This 153-nucleotide small nucleolar RNA is filed under the name Sorex araneus (European shrew). RNAcentral describes it as "Small nucleolar RNA SNORA15 (ENSSARG00000018521.1)". Lineage: Eukaryota; Metazoa; Chordata; Mammalia; Eulipotyphla; Soricidae. The record is from RNAcentral.